This 301-nucleotide ribosomal RNA is filed under the name uncultured Rubritalea sp. RNAcentral's name for it is "bacterial SSU rRNA". It matches the Rfam family "Bacterial small subunit ribosomal RNA", at positions 495 to 795 of the family's 1533-position model. The record is from RNAcentral. Lineage: Bacteria; Pseudomonadati; Verrucomicrobiota; Verrucomicrobiia; Verrucomicrobiales; Rubritaleaceae.
UGUUGAUCUUGGGCCAUAGGCGGCGGUAAUACGGACGGUGCGAGCUGUAAUCGAGUGUACUGGGCGUAAAGGUGGCGUAGGUUGCUAAUUAAGUCAAAUGUGAAAUCCCCGAGCUUAACUUGGGAAUUGCAUUCGAUACUGGUUGGCUAGAGUAUGGGAGAGGAUGGUAGAAUUCCAGGUGUAGCGGUGAAAUGCGUAGAGAUCUGGAGGAAUACCGAUGGCGAAGGCAGCCAUCUGGCCUAAUACUGACACUGAGGUGCGAAAGCAUGGGGAGCAAACAGGAUUAGAUACCCUAGUAGUC